UUAAAUCUUGUAGGCCAAUAGAAGACAGAGGUAAGGCCUCUUGUGGCCAAUCAUAUUAUUGUUAUUGUAUCAUGGUUGUGCCUGCAGUCACCACUAUGUGGCGCUGCUGCUCCAUGAUUCGACAUGUUUAUGAACCUAUUGUCACUGAGCAAGGUGUUAUCACAAAAGGAGUGGACGGAGCCUCGAGGACUAGCAAACAACCGGGGGUUAUGGAUGGAUCCGGGGUUCCCUGUAAGGAUGUGGAUUGGGAGUCUUCCCAUUGUUCCCAUGGGGGUAGAGGUGUUUUGGACCAAUAGGGGGUCAUCUAGAGAGUUGGUGUGAAAAGAAUUUUGGAGAAAUUCUCUUUAUAUGUGUGAGGUUAUGUGAGUGUGUAGCUUCUUUUUUUUUAAGGUUUGCUGAACUGUUUAGUGUUUAAUUACAACGGGAUUGUUGUCAUUUCCUGUCCUGUUUUUGGUUAUUUGACUUCGUUGCUAUGCAUCUUUGUCAUGUUGACUUUUAGUCCUACGAGGAGCGUUUACAUCUAGUGUACUGUAACGUCAAAGCAAUUAACGUAUAAUAAUCAUUGUAAUCUUAAUUUCGUGAUAAAUUCUCUGACAAUGAUCGUACCAGGGAAAUCUAUAACCGUCACAUCCCAAGGGCACCGCUGCAGGAUAUCACUGUACAGAGACAAAUCCCCUCUCAGGUGAGUGCUCUAUUUUCGUAUAUAUUUUUUUACAGCGAAAAUACGGUGAAGCAAGAAGAAUUUACUGUGAGUGAUGUUUGACAUUGCAGGUUAGCUACCGGCCUGGUAUCAGUGGAUAUUCUGACCAGUGUUGUAACAUACAAGUUAUACUAAAAGAGGUGCAUAUGAACAUACAGUAAAAAAAAAUUUUUUUUUCAUUGGCAGACAUAUUGUAAAGCAGGCAUAUAAUGAUCACAGGGGACAGAAAUGAAUAGGAUAGAGAUAUUUGAUUUGGUUUGUCGUAUUAGCGAUGUAUGCACAAUAUUAUAGCACAUGGAUAAUAUAUAAUAAUAUAAGAUUUACAUUAAAAAAUGGCCACGGUUUGCAGAGCAUGGCUCUGUACGGGGCUUUUUUACAAUAGUAGGUUUACAAUAGUAAUAACUGUUUGUGGAUGCAGCCUUAAUGAAAACAAUUGUUUUGUAAAGUAACAUUUCUGUAGUUUAUCUAUCUAUUUAAAAACACACCAAACACACUCUCACCUUUAUCUAAUGUAUUAUAAUAUCAUUUCUCAACAGGAAUUAUGUUCCUUUUUAAUGAGGGUAUCCAGUACUUUAAAAAGCGGUCUUCAUGCGAAUACAUCAGGAAGUUCUAUGAAGCGUUUAACUGCUCUUCUGUAGACCUUCCAUUAUUUCCUUGACUAUUUUAUCACAGCUGUGGCCGCCAGAGGGGGUAAUACACACAAAACCCAGUCGUUAUUAUUGAAGAGAGAUUAUAUAUUUUAUAUUUAUAUUUACUCUUUCGCACCUGUCUCCGGACCUUUUUUGUUACCAUUAUCAUCACCGUCAUCAAUAUGAUUGCUUUUAUUAUUAUUAUUGUUGUUGUGUUAAUAUUAUUAUUGUUGUUAUUAUUGUUGUAGAUGAUAAGUCGAUUAGAUAUAUUUUUCUCCUCAACGUCUUUAUGACGAAAAUGAAUUGAAUGAUGAUUUGUGUUCUCUCGUUUCCUGAUAAUGCAGAGAGAAAAAGAGGGAGGGAGGGAGAGAGAGAGGGAGAGUGAGUGAGAGUCAGAGAGAGAGAGAGAGACGCUUGUCGUAAGAAGAGCUGGGAGUGGAGGAAGACCGCGAAUGGAGACUUAAAGACAGUCCGUAGACGAGGGAAAGGACACCGCAGACGCCCUUUAUUUUCUUCUCCCCCCUUUCUUUGAAGGCUAUUCCAUUAUAUCUGGAGUCAAAGGGACUGACAACUCGUCUCGCCCAUAACCCUCUGGGUAACAGCAAAUGUUCGAAAGAGACGCUUGGUUCAGCAACACAAAUGAACAACAGGAAGGAGGACAUGGAGAUCUCCUCUCACUAUCGUCAGCUCCUGAGAGAGCUCAAUGAACAAAGGCAACAUGGCAUCCUCUGCGAUGCCUGUGUCGUUGUGGAUGGGAAGAUCUUCAAAGCGCAUAAAAAUGUCCUACUGGGCUCGUCACGCUAUUUUAAAACUCUUUACUGCCAGGU
Molecule: long non-coding RNA, 2156 nt
Organism: Cynoglossus semilaevis (tongue sole)
Lineage: Eukaryota; Metazoa; Chordata; Actinopteri; Pleuronectiformes; Cynoglossidae
Exons: 2
Source: RefSeq, a predicted model, not a curated record